AUGUUUGCGGACCUCAAAACUUCUAUGUUGAAAGAAGUUCACUCCUCGGUCAAGGAGGAAAUUGAUGCUCGCUUAAAGCCCUCGACAUCCGCCUCAAACUCAUUUGAUCCAAAUGUGGUUCAUGAUGCGGAUGAUUCGAGAGAACCUCUUGCAUCCCCGGCUCGCACUCAAGUUCCCAAGUACAAUGUUGUGGAACCAUUUUACUCACCACAACCCUUGCAGCACCCUCGCAUUAAUCCUGUGGGGCCUCCGCCCCCUUUGAAAGCUAACGCGUUUGCUAAGUGGAAGCUAGAUAUGGAGUCUCAUAUUCGCAGUGCAUCUACACAACUAUGGUGGAUUGUGGUCAAUGGUUUCAACCCCAAGGAUCCCAUGAAUCUCACUCCAAGAGAAGCAGUUGAUGAUCAACUCAAUGCUACCGCCCACCACAUGUUGCGCACCGCGGUGACCGAUGACUAUAGUGACUCCAUUGCUCUCCUCAAGACCGCCAAGGAAAUUUGGGAUUGCCUUGAGGAGGCCCUCGAAGGUGAUGAAGCAAUUCGAAGAUCUCGGUUGGCUUUGCUCAAGCAAGAAGUCAACCUAUUUGUGAGAAAUGAGGGUGAGUCCGCGGAAGAGGUAUAUCGAAGGUUGAAGUCACUUGGGCGAAUGACGAUUUCAUUAAGGACAAGUUCAUUGAUGCUAUGGUUCUCACGGAACAUACCAUGGUGA
This 705-nucleotide ribosomal RNA is filed under the name Triticum aestivum (bread wheat). Its description in RNAcentral is "partial small subunit ribosomal RNA". Lineage: Eukaryota; Viridiplantae; Streptophyta; Magnoliopsida; Poales; Poaceae. The record is from RNAcentral.